GCAGGAAGGAGGGCGAGCGCAGUGUUGCCGGCUGCGAGGGGCCGCCCGCGCUGCUCGGAGGGGGUCGCCCGUGCGCCUGGGGCCAUGGCCCUGAGCAGGAGGGAAGUAUUCAUAGGGAAAGUACUGAAACGACUCUAUGGUGAAACUGCAUCUUCUCUUGUGCAUACUUCAAGUAGAGAAGAGGAGGCGGUUCUCGGAAAUCUGGGCUCAAAAUCCGAAGAAAAUAAUUUGGAUAAUGUUCAGGCUUCAUCAGCACAUGAUGCUAGCACAUCAACUGAUACACCCUGUGAAUCAUUUCAAGUGGCAUCGUACUGUGAAAAUGGGACAGAUGGAUCCAGGAGUGGUGACAAUACAGUUACGUCUUCAAGGAGAAAGUACACAGUGAAUCUUCCUCCAGAGGGUUACACUGUAGUUACUCCAGAUGCUAUUAGGAGUUCAGUUUCUGAAAACUCAGGUGGUAGCGGUGACUCAACAGAGGAGGAAUAUCAAGGACAAACCAAGAGAAAGCGCAUUCGCAGGAAGAAACAAAAGAGCAGUUUGCAAAACUGUAAUAAUUUACAUGGAGAACAAACAGAAUCUGGAAUGCAAGAGACUCUUGUUCAAGAUAAUUUACAGCUGCAUCAGAUAGACAGUCCCAAACUAAGCAAAAACAAGAAGAGGAAAAUGAAAAAGAAACGACAGAAAGAAAAAAUGAGAGCAGCUGGCUUGAUAUCAAAAACUACCGGUGUGGAUUUUGCAUAUCAGCCUGACAAAAACAACAGAGAAGAAGCAGCAGGCUUAAAAGACACAGAUGAAAAGGCAGAUAGCAUUCUGGACUUCCUGCAGGCAACCCAAAAAAUUUAUUUUGCUGACAAUAAAUCAGAAUGCACGGAUUCAGCUGUAAAUUGUGCAGCUGCCCAAGAGGUUUUACAAUGUCUUGAAUCUCGCACCAUUUCUUCCUCAGAUGUGACUCUUCUACAUCAGUUGAAAUCCCUUGUAUUGCUGCAGGAUAUUGAGAGAUUGAAGGAUGCUUUGAAACAAUUCCAAGAACAAUCCAUGAUGCCUUCUGCAAUAAUGUCAAACUGAAGAGAGAAAACAGAAGCAAAUUAGAAACAAAUCCAUACAACUGCCCUAAUUUUCUGAGAUCAUACCAAGAUAGUCACGUCUCUGUUUCACUACUGGAUUACAGACAUCCUUCCUGUGAAGAACAGGAAAUAAAGCUUUGCCUGUGUCCAUAUGCACAGGGUUAAAACUUAAUGUAAAAACUCUUAACCAAGUAGCAAUUUUUCAGGAAGAGCAGUGUCAAUACACAUUCUACACCUUCAGGGUCUGAAAUUUUGCAAAGACUCAGAAAUCAUGAUUGCUUCUCUCCGGAGAAUGACACCUGGGUAUAUAAGGUUGUUGCAGACUCAAGCUGCAGGAAAAAUCGUUACCAACUCGUCAGACACCUUGCUGCAACGGGCAGCGGUGCUACUGGGAAUGUUUGGGAUCAGUAUAUCCAGCUACAGCACACACCAGCUAACUCAAAAGAGACUUCCCUUGACCCUUCAAGCUGCAUUGGGAUGUGACCCAAGAAGUAAAGGCUUACAUCAGUAGUGCUGAUGCGUGGCUUUUCUGCCUCAGUAACUGGUGUGGAGGUAAUGAGACACUUUGCAGCUGUGAUUUCUACAGGCAAAGUUAAAAAGAUGGACGAAUUACAGACUUCUUCAAGAAAGAAAAAAAACAAUGACUAACAGAGGCAUCAGUUUUCCAAAGACAAACCGUCUAUAAAUACAAUGGACUUUCUUUGUUAUCCCGUGUAUACAUUGAGAGAGAUCUAAAGGUAUAAAAUACAGUUAAAAUCAGAGUAGGUGUAAACAGAUCGAUGAGGGUGCCAUGCUUCGUUAGUGUCACCUUGUUGCAGCUUUUGCAGAUUUACUGUGCAAACACUGGUUUUGAAAAGGAAAAGUUAGAAGCAAUAUAUUCCUUAUGAGAAGAGUUAGACUGGUUUGUGCUGUUAUAUCUAACUAGAUAUGUGCAUUUGUGUGUAUUACAGAAUUUGUGCACCCUAAUUUUUCCUACUGAAUCUUAAACAUUUCUUGAUGCCUUUUGUGUAAAAAUCUUUGUGUAUUUUAACACAAGCUGGUUACCUUCUGCCACAGCAGAUAUGGCCACAGGCUACGCCAUCCAUAUGAUGUUGGGAAGGAACUGUGGCAGCAGGCCAGAUAACUUCAUAAUUGUGUACAGAAACUCUCUACUCUAGAAAGUAUCAGUAAAAAUACUGGGUUGGGUUUCAUUGCAGAGUUCAGUAUCUGAUUGUAUGCCUCUGCGAAGCCCACUCAUCCCGUAAUGUAGAUUGUGAUUAAAAUAAAAAUAGAGAUUGACCUUUUUUCCCCUCCUUUUCCCUUGUUUUCUUGUUCUUCUCACUCAGUGCAAUAGCUUAUUCAGGAAUGUUUUCUUACUAUCGGUUUGCAUUUUUCCAACUGUUUCUGAUGUUUUAUCUAAACAUGGCUUUGUAGGCUCUUCUGUGCAUGUUAGCGUUUCAAAUCCUUUGUUCUCAGUUACUAAAUACAAAUACUAUUUUGGGGGUUUUUUUCCAUGUUUAAAA
Molecule: RNA transcript, 2566 nt
Organism: Falco peregrinus (peregrine falcon)
Lineage: Eukaryota; Metazoa; Chordata; Aves; Falconiformes; Falconidae
Gene: ERICH1
Gene name: glutamate rich 1
Exons: 10
Source: RefSeq, a predicted model, not a curated record